RNAcentral lists this ribosomal RNA (253 nucleotides) under uncultured bacterium. Its description in RNAcentral is "partial 16S ribosomal RNA". It matches the Rfam family "Bacterial small subunit ribosomal RNA", at positions 524 to 776 of the family's 1533-position model. The record is from RNAcentral.
UACGUAGGGGGCAAGCGUUGUCCGGAUUUAUUGGGCGUAAAGAGCGUGUAGGCGGCCAGAUAGGUCCGUUGUGAAAACUCGAGGCUCAACCUCGAGACGCCGAUGGAAACCAUCUGGCUAGAGUCCGGAAGAGGAGAGUGGAAUUCCUGGUGUAGCGGUGAAAUGCGCAGAUAUCAGGAAGAACACCAAUGGCGAAGGCAGCUCUCUGGGACGGUACUGACGCUGAGACGCGAAAGCGUGGGGAGCGAACAGG